RNAcentral lists this ribosomal RNA (517 nucleotides) under uncultured Actinomycetes bacterium. Its description in RNAcentral is "bacterial SSU rRNA". It matches the Rfam family "Bacterial small subunit ribosomal RNA", at positions 355 to 863 of the family's 1533-position model. The record is from RNAcentral. Lineage: Bacteria; Bacillati; Actinomycetota; Actinomycetes.
UGGGGAAUCUUGCGCAAUGGGCGAAAGCCUGACGCAGCGACGCCGCGUGCGGGAAGAAGGCCUUCGGGUUGUAAACCGCUUUCAGGAGGGACGAAGCCACUCGGGUUAAUAGCCCAGAGGGUGACGGUACCUCCAGAAGAAGCCCCGGCUAACUACGUGCCAGCAGCCGCGGUAAUACGUAGGGGGCAAGCGUUGUCCGGAUUUAUUGGGCGUAAAGAGCGUGUAGGCGGCCAAGCAGGUCCGCUGUGAAAACUCGAGGCUUAACCUCGAGACGUCGGUGGAAACCGUUUGGCUAGAGUCCGGAAGAGGAGAGUGGAAUUCCCGGUGUAGCGGUGAAAUGCGCAGAUAUCGGGAAGAACACCCGUGGCGAAGGCGGCUCUCUGGGACGGUACUGACGCUGAGACGCGAAAGCGUGGGGAGCGGAACAGGAUUAGAUACCCUGGUAGUCCACGCCGUAAACGAUGGGUGCUAGGUGUGGGCGGUGUCGACUCCGUCCGUGCCGAAGCUAACGCAUUAA